Non-coding RNA from Coemansia biformis, 72 nucleotides. NCBI's taxonomy places the organism in Eukaryota, Fungi, Kickxellomycota, Kickxellomycetes, Kickxellales, Kickxellaceae. The record is from the annotation of a GenBank genome assembly.
UCUGUAGUGGUCCAGUGGUUAGGAUAAUCCGUUUUCGCCGGAUUGGCCGGGGUUCGAUUCCCCGUUACGGAA